RNAcentral lists this ribosomal RNA (252 nucleotides) under uncultured bacterium. RNAcentral's name for it is "partial 16S ribosomal RNA". It matches the Rfam family "Bacterial small subunit ribosomal RNA", at positions 524 to 776 of the family's 1533-position model. The record is from RNAcentral.
UACGAAGGGGGCUAGCGUUGCUCGGAAUCACUGGGCGUAAAGGGUGCGUAGGCGGGUCUUAAGUCAGGGGUGAAAUCCCGGAGCUCAACUCCGGAACUGCCUUUGAUACUGGCGAUCUUGAGUUCGAGAGAGGUGAGUGGAACUGCGAGUGUAGAGGUGAAAUUCGUAGAUAUUCGCAAGAACACCAGUGGCGAAGGCGGCUCACUGGCUCGAUACUGACGCUGAGGUGCGAAAGCGUGGGGAGCAAACAGG